Molecule: long non-coding RNA, 517 nt
Organism: Gordionus sp. m RMFG-2023
Lineage: Eukaryota; Metazoa; Nematomorpha; Gordioida; Chordodea; Parachordodidae
Exons: 4
Source: RefSeq, a predicted model, not a curated record
CGCAAUUAUUUAUAUGAAAGGUUUUUAUAUGAAAGUUAUACCAACCUUCAUUCACUUCACAUAUCAAAGCAAUGGUAUCCAGCAACCAAAUUCUUCAACAAAACCCAACUACCAAUAUAAGAAAAAACAAACCAAGUUAAAAAGCAGAAUAAGCAAAAUGCAUUGUUACCAUCAUUCCAGAGGUAUGUGAUGCUAUAUGGAAAACUUUAAAAGAUAUUCAUAUGCCAGUUCCAACUAGAGAACAUUGGGAGAAGAUUGCAUAAAAAUAUUUUGACCUGGCUCAUUAGAUGGUAAGCACUUUAUAUCAAAAGUUAGAAAAACCAAUAUCAAACACCUUAAAAAACUAUGAAACCUUAUCCUAUGAAAAAUACCAGUCCAGAAGCAAAACAUUAUAAGUUAAGUAGUGAUUGAAGGCACAUUUGGCAUAACUACUGAUAAGUUUGCCAUUAAUUCUAAAUCUAUAAAGUGCUCAGUUGAAAAUGCCUGUAAAAUAUAGUAUUGAAUAUGAAAAAAUUGA